This 24-nucleotide microRNA is filed under the name Salmo salar (Atlantic salmon). Its description in RNAcentral is "ssa-miR-222a-5p". Its record names the gene ssa-miR-222a-5p. RNAcentral also lists the same sequence under 1 other name. The record is from miRBase by way of RNAcentral. Lineage: Eukaryota; Metazoa; Chordata; Actinopteri; Salmoniformes; Salmonidae.
UGCUCAGUAGGCAGUGUAGAUCCU